This 2867-nucleotide ribosomal RNA is filed under the name Flavobacteriales bacterium. RNAcentral's name for it is "23S ribosomal RNA". It matches the Rfam family "Bacterial large subunit ribosomal RNA". The record is from RNAcentral. Lineage: Bacteria; Pseudomonadati; Bacteroidota; Flavobacteriia; Flavobacteriales.
GAGAGAAGUAAUUAAGGGCGUACGGCGGAUGCCUAGGCUCACAGAGGCGAAGAAGGACGUGAUAAGCUGCGAUAAGCUGCGGGGAGUUGCACAUAAGCAUUGAUCCGCGGAUUUCCGAAUGGGGCAACCCACUAUGUUGAAGACAUAGUACCAGAAAUGGGGCGAACCCGGAGAACUGAAACAUCUAAGUACCCGGAGGAGAAGAAAACAAUAGUGAUUUCCUGAGUAGCGGCGAGCGAAACGGAAUUAGCCCAAACCAAAGUUGUUACGGCAAUUUUGGGGUUGUAGGACUAUGACAUGGAUUGUACAAAGAACUGGAACGUUUUGGAAAGAACGAUCAAAGAGGGUGAUAAUCCCGUACAGGUAAGUCUGUAUAAAUCCUAAUAGUAUCCUGAGUAGCGCGGGGCACGUGAAACCUUGCGUGAAACAGCCGGGACCAUCCGGUAAGGCUAAAUACUCCUGUGAGACCGAUAGCGAACAAGUACCGUGAGGGAAAGGUGAAAAGUACCCUGAAUAAGGGAGUGAAAUAGAACCUGAAACCGUACGCUUACAAGCGGUCGGAGUCCCCUUGAGGGAUGACGGCGUGCCUUUUGCAUAAUGACCCUACGAGUUACUCCUCACUAGCAAGCAUAAGAACUUCAGGUUCGGAUGCGCAGCGAAAGCGAGUCUGAAUAGGGCGUAUAGUUAGUGGGGGUAGACGCGAAACCGUGUGAUCUACCCAUGGGCAGGUUGAAGUUGCAGUAACAUGCAAUGGAGGACCGAACCGCCAGACGUUGAAAAGUCUUCGGAUGACCUGUGGGUAGGGGUGAAAGGCCAAUCAAACUCGGAAAUAGCUCGUACUCCCCGAAAUGCAUUUAGGUGCAGCGUUGGAAUAGAGUGUCAUAGAGGUAGAGCUACUGGUUGGAUGCGGGGGCUUCAUCGCCUACCAAAUCCUGUCAAACUCCGAAUGCUAUGACAUGUUCUCCAGCAGUGAGGCAUUGGGUGCUAAGGUCCAAUGCCGAGAGGGAAAGAACCCAGACCAUCAGCUAAGGUCCCAAAAUUAUGAUUAAGUUGACCAAACGAGGUGCGAUUGCACAGACAGCUAGGAUGUUGGCUUGGAAGCAGCCAUUCAUUUAAAGAGUGCGUAACAGCUCACUAGUCGAGCGAUCGUGCGUGGAUAAUAAUCGGGCAUAAAUCAUAUACCGAAGCUGUGGACGAAAGUGGUAGGGGAGCAUUCCAGUCGGCGUAGAAGGCGAACCGUGAGGUUUUCUGGAGCGUCUGGAAAAGCAAAUGUAGGGAUAAGUAACGAUAAUGCGGGCGAGAAACCCGCACACCAAUAGACUCAGGUUUCCUCAGCUAUGCUAAUCAGCUGAGGGUUAGUCGGGUCCUAAGGCGAACCCGAAAGGGGUAGUCGAUGGCCAACGGGUUAAUAUUCCCGUACCGGCUAUUACUGCGAUGGAGUGACGAAGUAGUGAAAGCACCGCGCACUGACGGAAUAGUGCGUUAAAGGAGGUAGGUAUUGGUCCAGGUUAAGAGCUAGGACUAGCUGAACUUUGAUAGUACCACAAGUCUUCGGAUGAGUGGAUAGUGUGCCUAAUCAGACUUCCAAGAAAAACUUCUAAGCACUAGGUAAUAGCUGCCCGUACCGUAAACCGACACAGGUAGUCAAGUAGAGAAUACUAAGGUGCUCGAAUGAUUCGUGGCUAAGGAACUAGGCAAAAUCGCCUCGUAACUUCGGGAGAAGAGGCGCCAUCUUCGGAUGGCCGCAGUGAAUAGGCCCAGGCGACUGUUUAACAAAAACACAGGACUCUGCUAAAUUGAAAGAUGAUGUAUAGGGUCUGACACCUGCCCGGUGCCGGAAGGUUAAGAGGAGGGGUUAUACUUCGGUAGAAGCUCUGAAUUGAAGCCCCGGUAAACGGCGGCCGUAACUAUAACGGUCCUAAGGUAGCGAAAUUCCUUGUCGGGUAAGUUCCGACCUGCACGAAUGGUGCAACGAUCUGGGCACUGUCUCAGCCACGAGUUCGGUGAAAUUGUAGUAUCGGUGAAGAUGCCGAUUACCCGCUACGGGACGGAAAGACCCCGUGAACCUUCACUACAGCUUAGUAUUGACUUUGGAUAAAUGAUGUGUAGGAUAGGUGGGAGACAUCGAAGCGGCCUCGCUAGGGGUUGUGGAGUCGUCCUUGAAAUACCACCCUUUAUUUAUUUGAAGCCUAACUCCGCGAGGAGGACAGUGCUUGGUGGGUAGUUUGACUGGGGUGGUCGCCUCCAAAAGAGUAACGGAGGCUUCCAAAGGUACCCUCAGCACGUUUGGUAACCGUGCGUAGAGUGCAAUGGCAUAAGGGUGCUUGACUGUGAGACUUACAAGUCGAGCAGAGACGAAAGUCGGGCAUAGUGAUCCGGUGGUUCCGCAUGGAAGGGCCAUCGCUCAAAGGAUAAAAGGUACUCCGGGGAUAACAGGCUGAUCUCCCCCAAGAGCUCACAUCGACGGGGGGGUUUGGCACCUCGAUGUCGGCUCGUCACAUCCUGGGGCUGGAGAAGGUCCCAAGGGUUGGGCUGUUCGCCCAUUAAAGUGGCACGCGAGCUGGGUUCAGAACGUCGCGAGACAGUUCGGUCCCUAUCUGUAGUGGGCGUUAGAAAUUUGAGAAGACCUGCCUCUAGUACGAGAGGACCGAGGCGGACUGACCUCUAGUGUACCUGUUGUGACGCCAGUUGCAUCGCAGGGUAGCUACGUCGGGACGAGAUAAGCGCUGAAAGCAUAUAAGCGCGAAACUCACUUCAAGAUAAGAUUUCUUUUAAGGGUCGUAGGAGACGACUACGUUGAUAGGUCACAGGUGUAAAGGUGGUAACAUCAAAGCCGAGUGAUACUAAUUACCCGUAAACUUCCUCAA